GAAUCCAGAGAUGGAUUUGUGCCUUCGGGAACUGUGAGACAGGUGCUGCAUGGCUGUCGUCAGCUCGUGUUGUGAAAUGUUGGGUUAAGUCCCGCAACGAGCGCAACCCUUAUCCUUUGUUGCCAGCGGUUAGGCCGGGAACUCAAAGGAGACUGCCAGUGAUAAACUGGAGGAAGGUGGGGAUGACGUCAAGUCAUCAUGGCCCUUACGACCAGGGCUACACACGUGCUACAAUGGCGCAUACAAAGAGAAGCGACCUCGCGAGAGCAAGCGGACCUCAUAAAGUGCGUCGUAGUCCGGAUUGGAGUCUGCAACUCGACUCCAUGAAGUCGGAAUCGCUAGUAAUCGUGGAUCAGAAUGCCACGGUGAAUACGUUCCCGGGCCUUGUACACACCGCCCGUCACACCAUGGGAGUGGGUUGCAAAAGAAGUAGGUAGCUUAACCUUCGGGAGGGCGCUUACCACUUUGUGAUUCAUGACUGGGGUGAAGUCGUAACAAGGUAACCGUAGGGGAACCUGCGGUUGGAUCACCUCCUUACCUUAAAGAAGC
RNAcentral lists this ribosomal RNA (549 nucleotides) under Salmonella enterica. RNAcentral's name for it is "bacterial SSU rRNA". It matches the Rfam family "Bacterial small subunit ribosomal RNA", at positions 996 to 1533 of the family's 1533-position model. Lineage: Bacteria; Pseudomonadati; Pseudomonadota; Gammaproteobacteria; Enterobacterales; Enterobacteriaceae. The record is from RNAcentral.